UGAAGUUUGGCCAACACUUCAAUACUCAACCACCACCUAAUGUAACACUCCAACGGCCAAAUUAACUCUUAACUUUCACUUUUUUUUUCCUUCAAUUUUCAUCCUACGACCACAAAAGGAGGGAAAAACUAGAGACUUCUAGUUUGUGGAGAUAAAUCAAAUAAUGAAGCAUAUUGAGAGGAGAGAUUAAUUUACAAACAAAA
Molecule: unclassified non-coding RNA, 203 nt
Filed under: Hevea brasiliensis (rubber tree)
Lineage: Eukaryota; Viridiplantae; Streptophyta; Magnoliopsida; Malpighiales; Euphorbiaceae
Source: RNAcentral